This 346-nucleotide transfer-messenger RNA is filed under the name Lachnospiraceae bacterium. It matches the Rfam family "transfer-messenger RNA". From Rfam's summary of the family: Bacterial tmRNA, also known as 10Sa RNA or SsrA, is named for its dual tRNA and mRNA-like properties. The record is from RNAcentral. Lineage: Bacteria; Bacillati; Bacillota; Clostridia; Lachnospirales; Lachnospiraceae.
GGGCUAGUACUGGUUUCGACGGGGGCAAGGAAGGUCGGAAAGCCAUCCGUAGUGGGACACUACGUUAAAAGUUCCAAAAAAAUAUAAACGCUGAAGAUAAUUUAGCUUACGCUGCCUAAAGGCAGCAGUCACUCUUAAGUCAUUCGCUGCUUAGGAUAGUGGCUUCGACUAAGGCGAAGAACUGCUUUAUCAAAGCUUUGAGAUAAAGAUGGAAAUAUGAAGCUACUAAGAGCCUUAACCUGUCAUUGGGUGAAGGUUUAAGGGAAUGUUAAUACGAUGACUAUGAUGGAAGAUGUCUAACUGGAAAAGUCUUCGGACGCGGGUUCGACUCCCGCCUAGUCCACUU